GUCACAGCAAGUGGCCCACAGCAAGCUCCAGAGGCAUGAGGGAGAGAGCCUGCAGGUAUUUCCUGACUGCAACCCCUGGAGACACUGACCCCCAAGUGAGAAUCACCCCGUUGAUCACCAGAACUGUGAGUUUUAUUGAUGGCUUCCUCGCACUGUCUGGCUAUACUUGCACCACCAAACUUCUACCGAGAAGACAUAAUGAAAGCCUGGAGAACCAUGGCCACAAAUAACCCCCAACAGGAUGGUAGAUCAUUACAAACAUCCUUGUACUGAUAAUGCACUUGACGGCUCCCUGGUGCUACUCUGGGUCCUUACACUGUGUUGUUCUUCCUCCAACGAAUGCCGAGUAUGAAUACCUUCUGUGUGAGUGGCACAGCCUCUGUCCCUAAGGCAUUUAUAGGAGGGGAACCAGAAGGCUGGUGCAGAGCCCGCCCGGAGAGAUUCUAGGUGCCCUUCAAUUGAGAGUAAUGACACAAUUUUUUGGAAAGAGACAGAAACCCAUUUUGCUUAAAUACGCUUAGAAAUAAGCAGAAAAUACGAAUGAAUAAUAAUUUUUAAAGCAUUUUUUGACCUACCUGAAUGUUCAUGAGAGGUCUGUCUUCAGGCUAGCCUGAUCCAGGGUCUAAUGACCUUCUAGACUCUGUUACAUCUGCUUCCCCUGGGACGGCUCCAUGCACAAGGUGAUUCCUCUUGUGGCAGUAAAUUUGGGUUUGGCGUCUCACACCCUACAGCAUCAUGAUCUGGGGGGGAAGAGUUUGUAUCCCUGAAUAUUAGGGUCAUGUUCCCAUCCAUGAACCAAUUAUUGGGUCGGGGAGACUGGGUAUGCCGGUGGGUUUAAGCCAAUUGGAGCCUAUUCCUGGAGCUCUAUUCAGAGUUAGUCCCUCGUUAUCUACAUAGUUAAGAGCAGAAGGAUUGAUUUCUCCAAAGAAAAUAUGGGGACCUAUGGCCUGAAAGGUGAGAACAUGGAAUAUAGGCUGCCAGUGGCAGCAGGUGUUUGAGCCAGGGAAGGCUUGUCCGUGGGUGAGAACACAGGGGAGGGGCGGCAGUCCAGGUGCAGAAGCAGCAUGAGCAAACCUGGGGCCCCCCCGAAAUCACCUGCAAUCACCUGGAGCUUCGGGACAGUCAUGCAGGAGCCGUGGGAGAGGAGACAAACCACGGGCUCAGCGUCCGGGCUCUGACAGAGACUAACUGCAGCAGAUAGUCAGGAUUCAGAGAAAGGGUCAGAGUGAA
RNAcentral lists this long non-coding RNA (1230 nucleotides) under Vulpes vulpes (red fox). Its description in RNAcentral is "lncRNA (ENSVVUG00000029937.1)". Lineage: Eukaryota; Metazoa; Chordata; Mammalia; Carnivora; Canidae. The record is from RNAcentral.